UACGAAGGGUGCAAGCGUUACUCGGAAUUACUGGGCGUAAAGCGUGCGUAGGCGGUUUGUUAAGUCUGUCGUGAAAGCCCCGGGCUCAACCUGGGAAUGGCGAUGGAUACUGGCGAGCUAGAGUACGGUAGAGGAGAGUGGAAUUCCCGGUGUAGCAGUGAAAUGCGUAGAGAUCGGGAGGAACAUCAGUGGCGAAGGCGGCUCUCUGGAACAGUACUGACGCUGAGGCGCGAAAGCGUGGGGAGCAAACAGG
This 253-nucleotide ribosomal RNA is filed under the name uncultured bacterium. Its description in RNAcentral is "partial 16S ribosomal RNA". It matches the Rfam family "Bacterial small subunit ribosomal RNA", at positions 524 to 776 of the family's 1533-position model. The record is from RNAcentral.